CUACGGGCGGCAGCAGUGGGGAAUAUUGGACAAUGGGCGCAAGCCUGAUCCAGCAAUACCGCGUGUGUGAAGAAGGCCUGCGGGUUGUAAAGCACUUUCAAUUGUGAAGAAAAGCCUGGGGUUAAUACCCUCGGAUCUUGACGUUAACUUUAGAAGAAGCACCGGCUAACUCCGUGCCAGCAGCCGCGGUAAUACGGAGGGUGCGAGCGUUAAUCGGAAUUACUGGGCGUAAAGCGUGCGUAGGCGGCUAGGUCAGUCAGAUGUGAAAGCCCCGGGCUUAACCUGGGAACUGCAUUUGAUACUGCCUGGCUAGAGUAUGGUAGAGGGAAGUGGAAUUCCGGGUGUAGCGGUGAAAUGCGUAGAUAUCCGGAGGAACACCAGUGGCGAAGGCGACUUCCUGGACCAAUACUGACGCUGAGGUACGAAAGCGUGGGUAGCAAACAGGAUUAGAUACCCGGGUAGUC
Molecule: ribosomal RNA, 464 nt
Filed under: uncultured bacterium
Lineage: Bacteria
Description: partial 16S ribosomal RNA
Rfam family: Bacterial small subunit ribosomal RNA
Source: RNAcentral